GCACCGGGGAGGUGGGGUCUUACCGGGAUCAAUAGGCAGGCAGUCACUUUCUCUUCAUAGGAAUCUUGUCGAUUGGCCUGGCUGCUGCCUACUACAGCGGAGAUAGCCUGGGCUGGAAGCUCUUCUACGUCACAGGCUGCCUGUUUGUGGCUGUGCAGAACUUGGAGGACUGGGAGGAAGCCAUCUUCGACAAGAGCACAGGGAAGGUUGUUUUGAAGACGUUCAGCCUCUACAAGAAGCUGCUGACUCUUUUCAGAGCUGGCCACGACCAGGUGGUGGUCCUGCUCCAUGAUGUCCGUGAUGUGAGCGUGGAGGAGGAGAAGGUCCGGUACUUCGGGAAAGGCUACAUGGUGGUGCUCCGGCUUGCGACGGGCUUCUCCCACCCCCUCACGCAGAGUGCAGUCAUGGGCCACCGCAGUGAUGUGGAAGCCAUCGCCAAGCUCAUCACCAGCUUCCUGGAGCUGCACUGC
This 470-nucleotide small RNA is filed under the name Pan troglodytes (chimpanzee). RNAcentral describes it as "retained intron". Lineage: Eukaryota; Metazoa; Chordata; Mammalia; Primates; Hominidae. The record is from RNAcentral.